GAAUACAGGUCUGGCGAUGUGCAAGUACACAGAUUCACCAGGCAACAGCAUUGCGGCAAGGGUGGGAUGGGGAAGCCGGACCUAAGGCCAGAAAAGGAGAUUGCGACCAGAGCAUGCCUGCUGUGACUGUCAGAUAGGGAUAACAGAUGAAGUGCCUGGGGUUCCUGCUACUCCUGGUUCCCAUGGAGGUGGAGAAGAGGCAGGAGGCCACCUUGGAUCUGGAAGAUACUUCUGGGGCUUGUGGGCAUCUCAGUUUGGCAAAGGGGGCUGACUGAGCCCAACCCCUUCAGAGGAGAGGAGGACUAAAGAGAUGCCAGUCCAGGAAGGGGACCUUCAGGAGCAUGGGCAGCAGGGCCCAGGGAGGAGUAAUAGAAGAACAGAGGCCUACAGGUGAGUGGCUGCGGGAGGAGAUGGGGCCUUGACCUUUGGAGGCUGUAGCCAGCUGUGCCAUUGCUGUGAAGAUGCAGACAGAAGCCAGGGCUCCCAUGGCCCAAGUCCAACUCCCUGUGCCCCAGAGCACAGAAUGGUCUGGUGAGCGUACAGAGAGGGUGGCCAAGCACAGGGAGAGGCAGUGGAUGUAACUCUUGGGGUCUCUGUACC
Molecule: long non-coding RNA, 600 nt
Organism: Pan troglodytes (chimpanzee)
Lineage: Eukaryota; Metazoa; Chordata; Mammalia; Primates; Hominidae
Exons: 3
Source: RefSeq, a predicted model, not a curated record